Molecule: ribosomal RNA, 407 nt
Filed under: uncultured bacterium
Lineage: Bacteria
Description: partial 16S ribosomal RNA
Rfam family: Bacterial small subunit ribosomal RNA
Source: RNAcentral
AUUGCACGCUGGCGGCAGGCCUAACACAUGCAAGUCGAGCGGAGCGGCGGAAGGGUGAGUAAUGCCUAGGAAUCUGCCUGGUAGUGGGGGAUAACGUCCGGAACCGGGCGCGAAUAUCGCAUACUCUCAGAAGAGCCUAGGUCGGAUUGGCUAGUUGGUGGGGUAAAGGCCUACCAAGGCGACGAUCCUUAACUGGUAUGAGAGGAUGAUCAGUCAAACUGGAACGGAGACACGGUCCAUACUCCUACGGGAGGCAGUAGUGGGGAAUAUUGGACAAGGGGCGAAAGCCUGAUCCAGCCAUGCCGCGUGUGUGAAGAAGGUCUUCGGAUUGUAAAGCACUUUAAGUUGGGAGGCGUUACCAACAGAAUAAGCACCGGCUAACUUCGUGCCAGCAGCCGCGGUAAUAC